Molecule: non-coding RNA, 98 nt
Organism: Paramarasmius palmivorus
Lineage: Eukaryota; Fungi; Basidiomycota; Agaricomycetes; Agaricales; Marasmiaceae
Source: the annotation of a GenBank genome assembly
UCCCCCUUAGCUCAGCGGUAGAGCGCUUCACUCGUAUGACUUUUGUAGAAGAAGAUCGUAUGAUGAAGAGGUCAGUCGUUCAAAUCGGCUAGGGGGAA